This 253-nucleotide ribosomal RNA is filed under the name uncultured bacterium. RNAcentral's name for it is "partial 16S ribosomal RNA". It matches the Rfam family "Bacterial small subunit ribosomal RNA", at positions 524 to 776 of the family's 1533-position model. The record is from RNAcentral.
UACAGAGGUCUCAAGCGUUGUUCGGAUUCAUUGGGCGUAAAGGGUGCGUAGGCGGCGCGGUAAGUCGGGUGUGAAAUCUCGGAGCUUAACUUCGAAACUGCAUUCGAUACUGCCGUGCUAGAGGACUGGAGAGGAGACUGGAAUUUACGGUGUAGCGGUGAAAUGCGUAGAUAUCGUAAGGAAGACCAGUGGCGAAGGCGGGUCUCUGGGACGGUACUGACGCUGAGACGCGAAAGCGUGGGGAGCGAACAGG